GGAGAAACACAUAAAACUUCUCUUGGUGUCAGACUGACGAAAUACCCACACACGUUGCGGGAUCCUUACAAUAUUUUCUUACUUCUUUCAAAUGAUAUCCAAGCAUUUUUUGUAUAUCACUGAAAAUCUUAUUCAGUUCUGAUUCUGUAGAGCACUCACGAGAUCAAUGGACAACAAAAUACAGGUGUCAGGCCUUAUGCCAAUGAACAGUGCGCUGCAGGUAAGUAUGGGUGAUGAGGCUGAACUUUUGACACAGAGACUACAGUUUGAUAAACCAAUAGCUUCCUUUAUUAAUUUCAAAGGAGAGAGAAAUCUUUACAAGUCAACAUCCUGACAAUUCAUUAGCAAAAUAUAAUACCUCUGUGUGGAGGGAUGAUCCAAACAACAAGUGAAAAGUUCCAGUUCAGUUAAGUCACUCACAUGGCAAAACGGUGUUGGAAUAAGGAUAAUGCUGAUGUUUUCUUCUUUGAAGGUGAAGAUUGACAGUAAUGAUGGUUGGUAAAAAUGAAUAGUGGUGGUGAACAGUGGAGACGAAUGGUGAAAUUCUUUGGCAGAAAUACUGUGAAGUCACAAGAUGUACAAACAAACCAAUCUUUCAACUGUGCCUGUUUGAGCCAAGCUGAAAGCUCUUAUAUAUCGACUUCAGUAACUUUACUCUAUGCUUUUCCCUUUUUGGGGAAAGACAGAAUGUUUAUUAUUACCAAGAAAACAACAUCUAACACAAUACAAUACAUUUUGUCUGACACUUUAUAUUCCAGCUCUGGUAACUCAUUGUUAUGGGGACAGAAUCCACAGGUUUGAUAUGAAUAUACAAUAUAUCAUUGUCUCUCUCCUUUCAAUACAUCCCUCUCUUUCCUCCAAACUCCCCUUUCCAUUUUUCCUUCCCCUUUCUGUUCAAACAAAAAAACAAGAUCUAGAGGAGAGAAAAGACACAUCACUUUUAGCCUGAACUCCUGUCCCUCACAAUUCUAAUGAUAUUUGAAUCAGUUUCUUAUGAUGCUUAGAACUUGAGCUGUUCCAAAUUGAAGUCUAAGAAAAUAAUUUUAUUUUUGAUUCCUCCAUUAGAGAGUACUAAAAUCAAACUGCUGUAUGUACUCUUCCCUUUAUAGCAGAGGCACAAUACCAUCUAUUAUUUAAAAAUUAAACUAAUGUAGCAUCAGGUAUAUCAGACAUUGGCCUG
This 1180-nucleotide long non-coding RNA is filed under the name Androctonus crassicauda. Lineage: Eukaryota; Metazoa; Arthropoda; Arachnida; Scorpiones; Buthidae. The record is from RNAcentral.